UUUCCUAAUAUAUGUAAGUAAAAUAGAAAGUUUGGUAAUUGUUAUAACUCAUGGUAGGAUUAGUCCUUUGAUUCGUUUCUGUUUGUCUAUUUUGCUGUGUGCAGUUCUGAAAUUGUCCAGCAGGGAGCUCUCACUAUAAAAGAAGCAGGAAAAGCCUGACUCCUCCCCUUUCCUAACCUGGAACAACUUCCUGUUCAGACCCACCUGCUGCCUCCAUAUUGUCUGUGUGUUUGUGUUAGAUUUUUUGGUAGUUUUUCUUGUGUAUAUUUGGGUAAAUUAGGGGGUAAGUAAUGGUUUGUCUGAUUACCUUUUCUCCUGGUUUAUUAGUAGUGAGUUGGGUAGUUUGUGUAAAUUGGUUUUAUUUUAUUUUCAGGUUUUAGUGGUUUUGGGUUGUGUUCACCCCUGAAGUUGUACUUUCCAUAUUUGUGUCUCUAAAUUAAUCUUGAUUUAUUGAGUUUUUAUUGUCUGGUAUUUGGUCUGGCAGAGGGUUUGGGGAGUGAGUCCACUCUUAUUACUUGUUUGGUGAGUAGUUUUAGCAUUUGGUAUUUAUAAAAAGUUAAGAUUAUUUUUCUCCUCCCAUUUUUUAGUUAAAGAUUAUGAUUUUUGCCCUUUUGUUUUUUGUCUUGGUGACCUUAUUGGCCUUCCCUUGUAUUAGUUAAAGAAAUGUUAAAGAUUAAUUUAUUCACAUUUCAGUUAGUUUUAGACCUGGAUUUGUUUGUGCUGUGACCUGGGUUACUGUUAGAUCCCUUUUUUUGUAAUACAUUAAUCUUAUUUUGUUGAAGUUUUUAAUGUCUGUUUGGUUUGACAGAGGGUUUGGUUGUGAGCCCACUAUUACUUUUUUUUAAGAUUUGGUUUGUCUAAAUGUUUUUGUUGCCCUCACUUUUUCAGUUUUAAUUUUUUAAGCUCUGUUUUAGGUUCAGGAGCUGAUCCCAUUUGCAGGUUGGGAUACAGUGGACACCAGUGUUGGAAAAGUUGAGAAAGUUGAGUAAGCUCUUCAUGGUGAAGUUAAAACUUCCCAAAGGAAUGAUUUCUAAUCCUUUGCUGUUUUUAGUUUGCAGCAUCCUGGUGAUUUUUGUAGGUGUUAGACAUGGUAUUAUGGUAAAUAGAAGCUUGUGAAUGUUUUAUUUCCCCCCUCAUGCUUGGUUAUUAAUUAUUUGUAAUGAAUUAUUGCUGUUUUAUUGAGUUUUUAGUGUCUGGUGUUUGGUCUGGCAGAGGGUUUGGGGAGUGAGCCCACUCUUAUCUGUAUGGAAAUCAUCUUUUUAGAUAGUCAGGGGCUGAAGGCUGUAAGCUCUUCAUUCAAAGUGUUUGGUGUUUGGUCUGGCAGACAGUUUUGGGUAGUGAGUCCACUCAUUACUUGUAUGCUUUUAGGUUCAGGACCCAGAUCCUGUUGGCAGGCUGUGAUACAGUGGACACCAGUGUUGAGUAAAAUGUUCAGUCCUGAAACUGGCCACCCGGACCAAUCCUCACCUUUUCUGACCUGGAAAAACUUCCUGCUGACGUCCUCCAGACCAACCGGACGCCUCAAUUUUUGAUUUUAUUUUUCUAGAUUUUUUUUUUUCCCCGUCCUUCAAUGUAUCUUUAGGUACUUUAUGUGUUUUGGCUGGUUUAUAUCAGUUCCCUUCAGUAUAUGUAUUAGCAGGGGCAAUGAUUAGCCCAAGUGUUAAGUAUCUUUUUAUCUAUAGCUAAGUCAGUACCACUUUUUUUUUUUU
Astyanax mexicanus (Mexican tetra) is the source of this 1709-nucleotide long non-coding RNA. RefSeq lists it as uncharacterized. The transcript is spliced from 5 exons. The record is from RefSeq and is a predicted model, not a curated record. Lineage: Eukaryota; Metazoa; Chordata; Actinopteri; Characiformes; Acestrorhamphidae.